Molecule: transfer RNA, 76 nt
Filed under: Aegilops markgrafii
Lineage: Eukaryota; Viridiplantae; Streptophyta; Magnoliopsida; Poales; Poaceae
Description: partial tRNA-Ser
Rfam family: tRNA
About the family: Transfer RNA (tRNA) molecules are approximately 80 nucleotides in length. Their secondary structure includes four short double-helical elements and three loops (D, anti-codon, and T loops). Further hydrogen bonds mediate the characteristic L-shaped molecular structure. tRNAs have two regions of fundamental functional importance: the anti-codon, which is responsible for specific mRNA codon recognition, and the 3' end, to which the tRNAs corresponding amino acid is attached (by aminoacyl-tRNA synthetases). tRNAs cope with the degeneracy of the genetic code in two manners: having more than one tRNA (with a specific anti-codon) for a particular amino acid; and 'wobble' base-pairing, i.e. permitting non-standard base-pairing at the 3rd anti-codon position.
Source: RNAcentral
GGAGAGAUGGCUGAGUGGUUGAUAGCUCCGGUCUUGAAAACCGGUAUAGUUCUAGGAACUAUCGAGGGUUCGAAUC